Molecule: ribosomal RNA, 371 nt
Filed under: Agrobacterium sp. iEMC5
Lineage: Bacteria; Pseudomonadati; Pseudomonadota; Alphaproteobacteria; Hyphomicrobiales; Rhizobiaceae
Description: bacterial SSU rRNA
Rfam family: Bacterial small subunit ribosomal RNA
Source: RNAcentral
AGAGUUUGAUCCUGGCUCAGAACGAACGCUGGCGGCAGGCUUAACACAUGCAAGUCGAACGCCCCGCAAGGGGAGUGGCAGACGGGUGAGUAACGCGUGGGAACAUACCCUUUCCUGCGGAAUAGCUCCGGGAAACUGGAAUUAAUACCGCAUACGCCCUACGGGGGAAAGAUUUAUCGGGGAAGGAUUGGCCCGCGUUGGAUUAGCUAGUUGGUGGGGUAAAGGCCUACCAAGGCGACGAUCCAUAGCUGGUCUGAGAGGAUGAUCAGCCACAUUGGGACUGAGACACGGCCCAAACUCCUACGGGAGGCAGCAGUGGGGAAUAUUGGACAAUGGGCGCAAGCCUGAUCCAGCCAUGCCGCGUGAGUGAU